AUUGAACGCUGGCGGAAUGCUUUACACAUGCAAGUCGAACGGUAGAGGGGGCAACCCCUCGAGAGUGGCGAACGGGUGAGUAAUAUAUCGGAACGUGCCCAGUCGUGGGGGAUAACGUAGUGAAAGUUACGCUAAUACCGCAUACGAUCUAAGGAUGAAAGCGGGGGAUCGCAAGACCUCGCGCGAUUGGAGCGGCCGAUAUCAGAUUAGGUAGUUGGUGGGGUAAAGGCUCACCAAGCCAACGAUCUGUAGCUGGUCUGAGAGGACGACCAGCCACACUGGAACUGAGACACGGUCCAGACUCCUACGGGAGGCAGCAGUGGGGAAUUUUGGACAAUGGACGCAAGUCUGAUCCAGCCAUUCCGCGUGCAGGAUGAAGGCCCUCGGGUUGUAAACUGCUUUUGUACGGAACGAAAAGGUCUCUCUUAAUACGGGGGACUCAUGACGGUACCGUAAGAAUAAGCACCGGCUAACUACGUGCCAGCAGCCGCAGUAA
Molecule: ribosomal RNA, 496 nt
Filed under: uncultured bacterium
Lineage: Bacteria
Description: partial 16S ribosomal RNA
Rfam family: Bacterial small subunit ribosomal RNA
Source: RNAcentral